GACGAACGCUGGCGGCGUGCCUAAUACAUGCAAGUCGAGCGGACGGAAGGGAGCUUGCUCCCGGACGUCAGCGGCGGACGGGUGAGGAACACGUGGGCAAUCUGCCCAUCAGUCGGGAAUAACACUCGGAAACGGGUGCUAAUGCCGGAUAGGCAUCUUGGGGGCAUCCCUGGGAUGGGAAAGGCGCUUAGGCGCUGCUGAUGGAGGAGCCCGCGGCGCAUUAGCUGGUUGGCGGGGUAACGGCCCACCAAGGCGACGAUGCGUAGCCGACCUGAGAGGGUGACCGGCCACACUGGGACUGAGACACGGCCCAGACUCCUACGGGAGGCAGCAGUAGGGAAUCUUCCGCAAUGGGCGCAAGCCUGACGGAGCAACGCCGCGUGAGCGAAGAAGGCCUUCGGGUUGUAAAGCUCAGUCAAUCGGGAAGAGCGACCUAGGGAGGGAAUGCCCUAGGGGAGACGGUACCGAUGGAGGAAGCCCCGGCAAACUAC
Molecule: ribosomal RNA, 491 nt
Filed under: uncultured bacterium
Lineage: Bacteria
Description: bacterial SSU rRNA
Rfam family: Bacterial small subunit ribosomal RNA
Source: RNAcentral